Molecule: ribosomal RNA, 364 nt
Filed under: Clostridioides difficile
Lineage: Bacteria; Bacillati; Bacillota; Clostridia; Peptostreptococcales; Peptostreptococcaceae
Description: bacterial SSU rRNA
Rfam family: Bacterial small subunit ribosomal RNA
Source: RNAcentral
CAUACCGAAAGGUAUGCUAAUACGGGAUAAUAUAUUUGAGAGGCAUCUCUUGAAUAUCAAAGGUGAGCCAGUACAGGAUGGACCCGCGUCUGAUUAGCUAGUUGGUAAGGUAACGGCUUACCAAGGCGACGAUCAGUAGCCGACCUGAGAGGGUGAUCGGCCACAUUGGAACUGAGACACGGUCCAAACUCCUACGGGAGGCAGCAGUGGGGAAUAUUGCACAAUGGGCGAAAGCCGGAUGCAGCAACGCCGCGUGAGUGAUGAAGGCCUUCGGGUCGUAAAACUCUGUCCUCAAGGAAGAUAAUGACGGUACUUGAGGAGGAAGCCCCGGCUAACUACGUGCCAGCAGCCGCGGUAAUACGUA